GAUGAACGCUGGCGGCGUGCCUAAUACAUGCAAGUCGAGCGAAUGGAUUAAGAGCUUGCUCUUAUGAAGUUAGCGGCGGACGGGUGAGUAACACGUGGGUAACCUGCCCAUAAGACUGGGAUAACUCCGGGAAACAGGGGCUAAUACCGGAUAACAUUUUGAACCGCAUGGUUCGAAAUUGAAAGGUGGCUUCCGCUGUCACUUAUGGAUGGACCCGCGUCGCAUUAGCUAGUUGGUGAGGUGACGGCUCACCAAGGCAACGACGCGUAGCCGACCUGAGAGGGUGAUCGGCCACACUGGGACUGAGACACGGCCCAGACUCCUACGGGAGGCAGCAGUAGGGAAUCUUCCGCAAUGGACGAAAGUCUGACGGAGCAACGCCGCGUGAGUGAUGAAGGCUUUCGGGUCGUAAAACUCUGUUGUUAGGGAAGAACAAGUGCUAGUUGAAUAAGCUGGCACCUUGACGGUACCUAACCAGAAAGCCACGGCUAACUACGUGCCAGCAGCCGCCGUAA
Molecule: ribosomal RNA, 515 nt
Filed under: uncultured bacterium
Lineage: Bacteria
Description: partial 16S ribosomal RNA
Rfam family: Bacterial small subunit ribosomal RNA
Source: RNAcentral